Mya arenaria is the source of this 1304-nucleotide long non-coding RNA. RefSeq lists it as uncharacterized. NCBI's taxonomy places the organism in Eukaryota, Metazoa, Mollusca, Bivalvia, Myida, Myidae. The transcript is spliced from 4 exons. The record is from RefSeq and is a predicted model, not a curated record.
CGUAAUUUCCGGUUAGUUAUUGACAAACAAGAAAUUUUCAAACAUUUACGUUUUUUGUCUUCAUUUGCUGCUUUUCGAGGAUGCUUCUGUCGAGUUUUGACAGGACAGUAUCCAUGUUACCUGCCCGGCCCCCUCCAUUACAGUUGGGACAUUGCCUGCCAGUCUUCUUCCCCAACCAUGCCCAACUGAUUGGUCCAACAUUGUUCAAAACUUGAUGGAAAUGCGGUGUCAUCGUAGUUUGGAGUAUGUGCAGAGCACUCGGGACAACAAGCAGUUUAUUUCUUCGAUGAGACUGAAUUGAAAUGGAGCAGACACUAUUGUGAGCAUGAUGAUCACUUCUUCAAGUACCAUGGCUUGGAGAUAAAAAGCCGAAAUUGGCACUUUGGUCUUAGCAGCAAACAGGCCUGGCUUUGUGCGGUGCAGGUUUGCUGCAUCGGUGAUGGUUUAGUUUACCUUAUGAAAACCAGAGCAGUUGUGUACCCUGAACUCCUUUCCGAAUUCUUCAUCAAGGGGAUUGAUCUUGAAUGGCAGUGGUAUUAACAUGACAAGAUCAGAGAAUACAGCAGAUUAGACAUUGAAAAAGACAGUGUGCCCUAGACAGUCUCAACCAAAGCAUUGAACAAACUGUACAACCUGUUAAUUAACUUUUUAGAGCUGUUUGUUUGGACUAGUGUUUGUCAUUCAGAAAUAAGUAAUAACAUUAUUUCUCAGUAUAAGAAAUCUGCAGGAAUUAGAAGCUGAUAUUUACUGUAACUAUAUAAACAAACCUCUUAGGGGUUUAGCCAGGUUAAAGAAAGACAGGGAGCUACAGAAAAGAGACAGGUUUCCAUGUUUCAAUAGGACACCCUUUAUCUGUGAAGAAUUUUAACAUUUUGAAUGUUACAGAAAAUGUUAGGAAUAUUGUAUAAUGUUUAAUUGAAGUACUAUUAGGUUUCAAGUGCCAAAUAUUUAAAGCCUGUGUGUAUUUAUAAUCUUGUGAAUAUAAAGUUGUUAUCAAAACAAAAUCAAUAUUUGACUGUCUUAAGCUUUUAAUUCUAUGAAGGCAGGAGGUUGCCAAUCUUGCUCUUCAUGACGGGUGCUUCCCAAAAAGAACAGGGUGCAGAAACCUUCCAUAACUAUUGCUAGAACCCUAAUAUCCUUUUUUCAUCAAAUUACAGUAACAUUGACAAUUAACAAAUGAUGCAGUGAUAUUUUUUUAUGCUAAUAUCAUCAAUUUUUAUUGUCAUUAAGUUUUCUUCUAGAAUUGAUUUGUACAUGUUAUGUAUUGAAAAUUGAUACUUGUGGUUGCCAUGGUUACAAUUUGU